AGCAGCCGCGGUAAUUCCAGCUCCAAUAGCGUAUAUUAAGGUUGUUGCAGUUAAAAAGCUCGUAGUUGAAUUUCGGGAUCAAAGGAUCGGUCAUGCCUUGGUAUGUACUGGUUUUAUUGGUUCUCACCUUCUAAAGAACCAUAAUGCCAUUCAUUUGAUGUUAUGGGGAAUUAGGACUGUUACCUUGAAAAAAUUAGAGUGUUUAAAGCAGGCUUACGCUUGAAUACAUUAACAUGGAAUAAUGAAAUAGGACAUCAGAUUCUAUUUUGUUGGUUUCUAGGAUCGAUGUAAUGAUUAAUAGGGAUAGUUGGGGGCAUUAGUAUUCAAUUGUCAGAGGUGAAAUUCUUGGAUUUAUUGAAGACUAACUACUGCGAAAGCAUUUGCCAAGGAUGUUUUCAUUAAUCAAGAACGAAAGUUAGGGGAUCGAAGACGAUCAGAUACCGUCGUAGUCUUAACCAUAAACUAUGCCGACUAGGGAUCGGAUGAUGUUAAUUUUAUAAUGAUUCAUUCGGCACCUUAC
This 520-nucleotide ribosomal RNA is filed under the name uncultured Glomus. RNAcentral's name for it is "SSU rRNA". It matches the Rfam family "Eukaryotic small subunit ribosomal RNA", at positions 569 to 1091 of the family's 1831-position model. Lineage: Eukaryota; Fungi; Glomeromycota; Glomeromycetes; Glomerales; Glomeraceae. The record is from RNAcentral.